GACGAACGCUGGCGGCGUGCCUAAUACAUGCAAGUAGAACGCUGAAGGAGGAGCUUGCUUCUCUGGAUGAGUUGCGAACGGGUGAGUAACGCGUAGGUAACCUGCCUGGUAGCGGGGGAUAACUAUUGGAAACGAUAGCUAAUACCGCAUAAUAGUAGAUGUUGCAUGACAUUUGCUUAAAAGGUGCAAUUGCAUCACUACCAGAUGGACCUGCGUUGUAUUUGCUAGUUGGUGAGGUAACGGCUCACCAAGGCAACGAUACAUAGCCGACCUGAGAGGGUGAUCGGCCACACUGGGACUGAGACACGGCCCAGACUCCUACGGGAGGCAGCAGUAGGGAAUCUUCGGCAAUGGACGGAAGUCUGACCGAGCAACGCCGCGUGAGUGAAGAAGGUUUUCGGAUCGUAAAGCUCUGUUGUAAGAGAAGAACGAGUGUGAGAGUGGAAAGUUCACACUGUGACGGUAUCUUACCAGAAAGGGACGGCUAACUACGUG
This 495-nucleotide ribosomal RNA is filed under the name uncultured bacterium. RNAcentral describes it as "partial 16S ribosomal RNA". It matches the Rfam family "Bacterial small subunit ribosomal RNA", at positions 28 to 507 of the family's 1533-position model. The record is from RNAcentral.